CGCCUGUUUAUCAAAAACAUCUCUUCUCGUUAGUUUUUGAAGUAUGGCCUGCCCACUGACCUUGAAUGUUGAAGGGCCGCGGUAUUUUGACCGUGCAAAGGUAGCAUAGUCAUUAGUUCUUUAAUUGUGAUCUGGUAUGAAUGGCUUGACGAGGCAUGAGCUGUCUUAAUUUUGAAUUGUUUAUUGAAUUUGGUCUUUGAGUUAAAAUUCUUAGAUGUUUUUAUGGGACGAGAAGACCCUAUAGAGUUUGACAUUUAUUAUGGUCUCUUUCUGUUUGUGAGGGUUCACUAGGGCUGUUUAAUAUGUUUUGUUGGGGUGAUGGGAGGGAUAUUAUUUAACCCCUCCUUUGUGUUGUUAUAUUUAUUUAUAUUUGCUUGAUCCAUUUAUUUUGAUUGUAAGAUUAAAUUACCUUAGGGAUAACAGCGUAA
Molecule: ribosomal RNA, 428 nt
Filed under: Reticulitermes flavipes (eastern subterranean termite)
Lineage: Eukaryota; Metazoa; Arthropoda; Insecta; Blattodea; Rhinotermitidae
Description: partial 16S ribosomal RNA
Rfam family: Archaeal large subunit ribosomal RNA
Source: RNAcentral